AGACUCUGUGCUGAGUUUGUGUUCCUUCCAGCUCCCUCGGAGUGGGUGGAUCAGUGCAGCCCAGCCCAGCCUGCCAUUUACUACAUCAUCUUCUGGCUUUCCUCAGCUGCACAGCAGAACAGUCUAGCUCAGCCUGCCAGCCUGCCUGUGCCAGUAGACCUCCUGCAUUCAUUCCAGCUCCCUCCGAGUGUUUGAGUGUCCUCCUCCAGCCAGCCGUUUCGCUCCCCUUCCGCUGGCUUCUCUCAGUAAUUCAGCUAGGUGGUCUAUCCCCUAACGCCAGCCUUUCUGCCACCCAGAUAGAGGGGUCCUGCAGGAACAGCCUGCCUAGUUGUGAUCAUCAGCUGGGAAGUAGGAACAGCAGCAUCUGCCUCUGGAGAACAGGCAGCUGCUGUGGGAAACAAUAUCAAUGGUCUGCAGAAAAUCAGGGAUGGAUUAGGAGGGAAGAGGCCCUGUGCUUCCGUUCCAAGGUUGGACUCCCCCAACUGUAUUCUAUCUCCCAUGAUGCACUACAGCCAUAGGAUUGCCAUGAUGCACUGCCUCCCCUCCUAAAGAGUAAAGACCAUGGAUGGUGUGAAAGUGAAGAGGAGAGUGGUCACGUUUGCAGCAGCCAUUACUAUUGUAAGGAUUCUACAAAAAGAGGAAUUUUGUUUGUUCCAAGAGGUCAUCUGCUUCUUCUCCAUAUUCCUAAUCUGAAAUGAAUGAUGUCAAAAUCCAGAGAUGUAAGAUGAAUUUUCUCAGUCAGUUUCCAAUCUGAAAGGCUCCAAAAUAGAGCAGCAAUAUUUGACUCCAUCUAAACUCCAUUCCAGAGCUUACUAUCAGCCAUGGGAAUUUACAAGCAUUCCAAAGAGGCUGAGGAAAUCCAGGAAACCACAAUGACAGCUCUACUUGAAAAGACCAUUAUAUGAUAGUGACUUGAGAGAGAAAAUGUAGCAUAUUUUACUCCAUUCAUGAAAGAUUAGAAAUAUCACUUAUAUUAAACUGUUUGGUUUAAUAAAUGAUUUGGUUUUAA
Molecule: long non-coding RNA, 1009 nt
Organism: Mauremys reevesii (Reeves's turtle)
Lineage: Eukaryota; Metazoa; Chordata; Testudines; Geoemydidae
Exons: 5
Source: RefSeq, a predicted model, not a curated record